UUCCCAGACUGAUGGUCCGCUCAGCGUUUCGCACAACCAUGUUGUCAGAGAAAACACAUGUUCUUGGCUAAAUACUCUUUUUUUCAGAUCUUCUAACAUCUUGGACACCCCAUGUCGCGUGAACAAACCACUCACGUGAUGACCUCAUUCCUCGCAGGUGCCUUGGCAAAAGCCGUGGGACGCACCACUGGCACGGGACGGGGCCGGAAAGGACCAUAUUCACAGGUGUCCCCGAACAUGAUGUCAUGCGACAAAAAUGCCAGGAAACAUGAUCUCACUUUGUUUUCACCGGAUGUGACAUCAUUUUGUUUUUAACGGAUGUGGCAUCAUUGGGGAGAGGUGGGCCGGGAGGUGACGUCAUUGCGCACGUGCGCUGGCACACUGGCAGGUGGCGACGUCAUAGGCCAGCCCUCAUUUUGACAAAAGCGCACUCUCUAUUAUUGUGAUCAUUAUAUUUUUAAAAAGCACAGUAUUUCAAAUUAUUUUUUUGGUUAAUUGUUUGGAGUACCUAAUGUAGAUGACGAUUGGCAUUCUAAGGAGUCUUAAAUGGUGUCAACAAAACUGGCAAUAUAUAGAUAAGAAUGUCAUUGCAGAGCUGAAAUUUAGGAAUAGUUUUGACCUCAUAUGCACCAUAGAAAAUGAAAUAUACAUUCUUAAAGGUUAUUACUGUUCUCAUCAACUCUUGCAAACUUCUCACUCAAUGUAAGACGACAUGUAGCAGAUGUCUUUUUGUAGACAGUGUAGCAUUGCUUGUGUUUUUCUGUAUUUUGGGUUGAAAACUAAUGUUUAAAGCCUGACUACAACCAGCUUUGAAAGAAUAGGUAUAGUUUUCUUAUAUUGGUUUGAUGUUGAAUACCUGACAAUUCAGCAGAGACUGAAUAAGGUUUUGCUGCUUCUUUUGCCUUUGAGCUUCAAAAUGUGUAAUGCGUAAAUGCGUAAACUCCAAAUACUUGGUUGUAGUGGACUACAAUGUAUCCCACUGGAUUAGGGUUAGGGUUAAGGGCUGCGCAUCAUUGCAGCCUCACCCAGCAUCUUCCCUUGUUGUGUCUCGCCAGUUUCAUCCACGCUGUUGUGUUCGUAAUAACUUUUUUUGUUUAAGUGAUAAUUUUUUUGAUUAGUUAAGCAAGCCCUUACAAUGCCGCCGAAGCGCUGUGCCCCUGCAAAAUGUUUUUCUCCAAGGUAAAAACCCCAGCUACACCGUCAGCGCCUCCAGCAGAAGAGUCUUCGAGUCAAGUGAGAGCCUCUCCUCCGCCACCAACACAAGCCUCUUCG
Phyllopteryx taeniolatus (common seadragon) is the source of this 1272-nucleotide long non-coding RNA. RefSeq lists it as uncharacterized. Lineage: Eukaryota; Metazoa; Chordata; Actinopteri; Syngnathiformes; Syngnathidae. The record is from RefSeq and is a predicted model, not a curated record. The transcript is spliced from 3 exons.